UACGUAGGGGGCAAGCGUUGUUCGGAAUUACUGGGCGUAAAGCAUCCGUAGCCGGUCCUGCAAGUCUUCCGUUAAAUCCAGCUGCUCAACAGAUGGGCUGCGGGGGAUACUACAGGGCUAGGAGGCGGGAGAGGCAAGCGGUACUUUAUGGGUAGGGGUAAAAUCCGUUGAUCCAUAGAAGACCACCAGUGGCGAAGGCGGCUUGCCAGAACGCGCUCGACGGUGAGGGAUGAAAGCUGGGGGAGCAAACCGG
Molecule: ribosomal RNA, 253 nt
Filed under: uncultured bacterium
Lineage: Bacteria
Description: partial 16S ribosomal RNA
Rfam family: Bacterial small subunit ribosomal RNA
Source: RNAcentral